This 860-nucleotide ribosomal RNA is filed under the name uncultured bacterium. RNAcentral's name for it is "bacterial SSU rRNA". It matches the Rfam family "Bacterial small subunit ribosomal RNA", at positions 38 to 890 of the family's 1533-position model. The record is from RNAcentral.
GGGGCGGGGGUGCUUAGACUGCAGUCGUACGAAGCCCUUCGGGGCUUAGUGGCGGACGGGUGAGUAACACGUGUUAUAACCUACCUGUGCUUGGGGGAUAACCGGCCGAAAGGCCAGCUAAUACCGCAUAAGCUCACGGCCCUGCAUGGGGCUGGGAGAAAAGGCGCUGCAAGGCGUUGAGCAGAGAGGGGUCCGCGGCCCAUUAGCUAGUUGGAGGGGUAACGGCCCACCAAGGCGACGAUGGGUAGCCGGCCUGAGAGGGCGACCGGCCACACUGGGACUGAGACACGGCCCAGACUCCUACGGGAGGCAGCAGUCGGGAAUUUUGCGCAAUGGCCGAAAGGCUGACGCAGCAACGCCGCGUGAGUGAAGAAGGCCUUCGGGUUGUAAAGCUCUGUUGUCAGGGAAGAACGGCCAGGGCAGGAAAUGGCCUUGGUUUGACGGUACCUGACGAGGAAGCCACGGCUAACUACGUGCCAGCAGCCGCGGUAAUACGUAGGUGGCAAGCGUUGUCCGGAAUGAUUGGGCGUAAAGGGCGUGUAGGCGGCUUUGUAAGUGGGUGGUGUAAACCGGCGGCUCAACCGCAGGAUUGCCAUCCAAACUGCAAAGCUUGAGUGCGGUAGAGGGCAGUGGAAUUCCCGGUGUAGCAGUGAAAUGCGUAGAGAUCGGGAGGAACACCAGUGGCGAAAGCGACUGCCUGGGCCGUAACUGACGCUGAGGCGCGAAAGCUGGGGGAGCAAACGGGAUUAGAUACCCCGGUAGUCCCAGCCGUAAACGAUGAGUGCUAGUGUAGGGGUAUCGACCCCCCUGUGCCGGAGUUAACGCAAUAAGCACUCCGGCCUGGGGGAGUACGGGCCGCA